Molecule: ribosomal RNA, 497 nt
Filed under: uncultured bacterium
Lineage: Bacteria
Description: partial 16S ribosomal RNA
Rfam family: Bacterial small subunit ribosomal RNA
Source: RNAcentral
GAUGAACGCUGGCGGCGUGCCUAAUACAUGCAAGUCGAGCGAACAGACGAGGAGCUUGCUCCUCUGACGUUAGCGGCGGACGGGUGAGUAACACGUGGAUAACCUACCUAUAAGACUGGGAUAACUUCGGGAAACCGGAGCUAAUACCGGAUAAUAUAUUGAACCGCAGGGUUCAAUAGUGAAAGACGGUUUUGGGGGCACUUAUAGAUGGAUCCGCGCCGCAUUAGCUAGUUGGUAAGGUAACGGCUUACCAAGGCAACGAUGCGUAGCCGAGCUGAGAGGGUGAUCGGCCACACUGGAACUGAGACACGGUCCAGACUCCUACGGGAGGCAGCAGUAGGGAAUCUUCCGCAGUGGGCGAAAGCCUGGCGGAGCAACGCCGCGUGUGUGAUGAAGGUCUUCGGAUCGUAAAACUCUGUUAUUAGGGAAGAACAACUGUGUAAGUAACUAUGCCCGUCUUGACGGUACCUAGUCAGAAAGCCACGGCUAACUACGUG